UACGGAGGGUGCGAGCGUUGUCCGGAAUCACUGGGCGUAAAGGGCGCGUAGGCGGCGCGGAUAGUCGGCGGUGAAAGCCCGGAGCUCAACUCCGGGUCGGCCGUCGAUACUUCCGGGCUUGAGCACUGUAGAGGCAGAUGGAAUUCCGGGUGUAGCGGUGGAAUGCGUAGAGAUCCGGAAGAACACCGGUGGCGAAGGCGGUCUGCUGGGCAGUUGCUGACGCUGAUGCGGGACAGCGUGGGGAGAAAACAGG
Molecule: ribosomal RNA, 253 nt
Filed under: uncultured bacterium
Lineage: Bacteria
Description: partial 16S ribosomal RNA
Rfam family: Bacterial small subunit ribosomal RNA
Source: RNAcentral